GAUGAACGCUGGCGGCGUGCCUAAUACAUGCAAGUAGAACGCUGAAGCUUGGUGCUUGCACCGAGCGGAUGAGUUGCGAACGGGUGAGUAACGCGUAGGUAACCUGCCUCUUAGCGGGGGAUAACUAUUGGAAACGAUAGCUAAUACCGCAUAAAAGACGAUAUCGCAUGAUAUUGAUUUGAAAGAUGCAAUUGCAUCACUAAGAGAUGGACCUGCGUUGUAUUAGCUAGUUGGUGAGGUAACGGCUCACCAAGGCGACGAUACAUAGCCGACCUGAGAGGGUGAUCGGCCACACUGGGACUGAGACACGGCCCAGACUCCUACGGGAGGCAGCAGUAGGGAAUCUUCGGCAAUGGGGGCAACCCUGACCGAGCAACGCCGCGUGAGUGAAGAAGGUUUUCGGAUCGUAAAGCUCUGUUGUAAGAGAAGAACGAGUGUGAGAGUGGAAAGUUCACACUGUGACGGUAACUUACCAGAAAGGACGGCUAA
RNAcentral lists this ribosomal RNA (489 nucleotides) under Streptococcus parasanguinis. RNAcentral describes it as "bacterial SSU rRNA". It matches the Rfam family "Bacterial small subunit ribosomal RNA", at positions 28 to 500 of the family's 1533-position model. The record is from RNAcentral. Lineage: Bacteria; Bacillati; Bacillota; Bacilli; Lactobacillales; Streptococcaceae.